GUGAACGCCCUCAUGGGCUUAUAACUAUUCCAAACCUCUGUGAACCGUGCCCUUCGGGGCUAUUUUACAAACAUGGUGUAAUGAACGUCAUAUAUCAUAACAAAACA
Molecule: unclassified non-coding RNA, 107 nt
Filed under: soil metagenome
Description: partial internal transcribed spacer 1
Source: RNAcentral